UUCACAAAUGCUUCCCUAUUACAUUCCGUUCCAAUACAAAACCUAGCCUCUUGCGCUUCCUAUUUCAUGAUAAAUAAUUCUUUCGUUUAUAAGUUCGAUCACUCCACGGCAACAAAUUGUGAUUAUAUCAAGGAUAUAAUCACUUUCCUACCCCUAGUAUGUAACAAAUCAUUAUGAACAAAACGCAAGAGACUUAUUAUAACGUAAACAUAUUGAGAGUAUUAGUACGAGUAAAGUGAAAAAUUAUAACUUGCAGUGAUUUUCAUGUAAUGUAAAAUAAUGCACACAGCACACUGCCAAAUAUUAUACUUGUCUGUGACGCAAUAAAAGUUACUCUGUUAAAAAAAAUAACCUUUUGUCUUUUAUUGUUUGUGGUGCAAUACUGCAUAAAGUUUUUCCGACUAAAAACAAAAACAAACUUUUGAAACUUUCUUCUAGCCAUAACAUUAAAAGAAAUGCCUUUAUGUGAAAACUGCCAUAUUGAGUAAAUAUUUACUUACUAAUCGCAAAGACAAACAACAAAACUUAAUGUUUUUCCAAGACAAACAUAAAAGAACAGAAAACUUGCUGCCUGACACCUAACAAGAAGAGAUGAAGCAAAAUCUAACAUCCUGGUCACGGCACCAAAUUGUAACGUUUCGCCCUACCUCCUGCCUACUUAACUCCUACCUAAUGGAUUUACUAAAAAGAUAUUUGAAACUACAGAACUAAAAUACUUUGAGUGAAAUAAGAGUGAAACAAAUACUGCUUUAGAUUGGCCAUGAAACAUCUAGGGAACCCCUACGUUGUGUGUUGUAACCCAAUAAACGAAAGAUAGUGAAUUAAAUAAAACUAUGACCUAGAACUGAUUACAUACUUC
Molecule: non-coding RNA, 859 nt
Organism: Plutella xylostella (diamondback moth)
Lineage: Eukaryota; Metazoa; Arthropoda; Insecta; Lepidoptera; Plutellidae
Source: RefSeq, a predicted model, not a curated record